Molecule: long non-coding RNA, 524 nt
Organism: Bombina bombina (fire-bellied toad)
Lineage: Eukaryota; Metazoa; Chordata; Amphibia; Anura; Bombinatoridae
Exons: 2
Source: RefSeq, a predicted model, not a curated record
UUUCAGCUUAUCAUUUUAGGAUAGCAUUUUUGAUUAAUGGAUUAAAUUCUAGGUUUUCACUUUUAAAACUUGUGUUCUAACGUAUAUAUUUUCCUUCUCAGGAUGCCUUUUAUCACUGGUUUGCUUCUGCAUUAUACUUGAGUGCUGCAAUACUUCAAGCUUACUUUACAGAUACUGUUCAGAGCGAUACAUAUUUCUAUUUCAGGAUAUACAAUCUAAACAUUGCAGCAUGUGUAUUUGCCUUUAUUACAACAGUUUUGUAUUCAGUUCAUGCAACUUUUUCCCUUUUGAGAUGGAGGAGAUCUUCCUAAGUCUGAAUACUUUAAAAUAUACUGAAGAUCACAAAAAGAAAAAACAAUAUAUGGUCACACAUAGCACCUGCAUGCAUUCCCUUUGGGCGUCAGAUUAGAAAUAUGUUUUAUAAAAGUUUUGCUUUAUUACUUAAGAAAGAUUAAUCUAGAUGUCUAUCUUUUAAAAAUAUAAUAUUUUGGUUCAUUGUUAAUCUAAAUAAAAGACAAAUUUUA